Molecule: transfer RNA, 58 nt
Filed under: Myotis davidii
Lineage: Eukaryota; Metazoa; Chordata; Mammalia; Chiroptera; Vespertilionidae
Source: Rfam by way of RNAcentral
UGGCUCAGUGGAUAGAGCAUCAGGCUGUGGACUGAAGGGUCCUGGGUUCGAUUCCCGG